UACGGGGGGGGCAAGCGUUGUUCGGAAUUACUGGGCGUAAAGGGCUCGUAGGCGGCCAACUAAGUCAGACGUGAAAUCCCUCGGCUUAACCGGGGAACUGCGUCUGAUACUGGAUGGCUUGAGAUUGGGAGAGGGAUGCGGAAUUCCAGGUGUAGCGGUGAAAUGCGUAGAUAUCUGGAGGAACACCGGUGGCGAAGGCGGCAUCCUGGACCAACACUGACGCUGAGGAGCGGAAGCCAGGGGAGCAAACAGG
This 253-nucleotide ribosomal RNA is filed under the name uncultured bacterium. RNAcentral's name for it is "partial 16S ribosomal RNA". It matches the Rfam family "Bacterial small subunit ribosomal RNA", at positions 524 to 776 of the family's 1533-position model. The record is from RNAcentral.